GAGGCUGCUGGGAACUCACCGAGGCCGGGGACAGCUCUGCCUCAGGCUUCAUGAGCAGCACACUUUGGUCCACGGCCCGGAGGGCGCAGAGGGACUGAGGAGAAGCUGUGACUCGCAGGGGAAUGAAGUGAACGGCUCUUGACUGGAUGUGUUUUAAGGGCAGCACAAUGUGAUUGAAAGGCACUGAUUGAAGCAGUAAAAAGUGGAAUGGUGGUUGCCAGGGGCUGGGGAGAGGGGAAAACAGUGGGCAUUAAUCAAAGGGUACAAAGUUUCAGUUAUAUAAGAUGAAUAAGUCCUAGAGAUCUGCCGUACAGCAUAUAGCCUUUAGUUAACUACACUGUAUUGUAUACUUAAUAAUUUGCUAAAAGGAUAGAUCUUGUGUUUUUAUCACACACACAAAAAAUAAUAAAUAAAGAGGAUGGGACUUAAAAAAAAGUGCACAAAUCAAGAAUUGGGGGACCUGGAUCCUAGUUCUGGUCUUGCCAUUAAAUUAUUUUAUGACUUUGCAA
Equus caballus (horse) is the source of this 509-nucleotide non-coding RNA. Lineage: Eukaryota; Metazoa; Chordata; Mammalia; Perissodactyla; Equidae. The record is from RefSeq and is a predicted model, not a curated record.